GAUGAACGCUGGCGGCGUGCCUAAUACAUGCAAGUCGAGCGAACAGACGAGGAGCUUGCUCCUCUGACGUUAGCGGCGGACGGGUGAGUAACACGUGGAUAACCUACCUAUAAGACUGGGAUAACUUCGGGAAACCGGAGCUAAUACCGGAUAAUAUAUUGAACCGCAUGGUUCAAUAGUGAAAGACGGUUUUGCUGUCACUUAUAGAUGGAUCCGCGCCGCAUUAGCUAGUUGGUAAGGUAACGGCUUACCAAGGCAACGAUGCGUAGCCGACCUGAGAGAGUGAUCGGCGACACUGGAACUGAGACACGGUCCAGACUCCUACGGGAGGCAGCAGUAGGGAAUCUUCCGCAAUGGGCGAAAGCCUGACGGAGCAACGCCGCGUGAGUGAUGAAGGUCUUCGGAUCGUAAAACUCUGUUAUUAGGGAAGAACAAAUGUGUAAGUAACUAUGCACGUCUUGACGGUACCUAAUCAGAAAGCCACGGCUAACUACGUG
RNAcentral lists this ribosomal RNA (497 nucleotides) under uncultured bacterium. Its description in RNAcentral is "partial 16S ribosomal RNA". It matches the Rfam family "Bacterial small subunit ribosomal RNA", at positions 28 to 507 of the family's 1533-position model. The record is from RNAcentral.